Molecule: ribosomal RNA, 468 nt
Filed under: uncultured bacterium
Lineage: Bacteria
Description: partial 16S ribosomal RNA
Rfam family: Bacterial small subunit ribosomal RNA
Source: RNAcentral
GACGAACGCUGGCGGCGUGCUUAACACAUGCAAGUCGAACGGAAAGGCCCUGCUUUUGUGGGGUGCUCGAGUGGCGAACGGGUGAGUAACACGUGAGUAACCUGCCCUUGACUUUGGGAUAACUUCAGGAAACUGGGGCUAAUACCGGAUAGGAGCUCCUGCUGCAUGGUGGGGGUUGGAACGUUUCGGCGGUUGGGGAUGGACUCGCGGCUUAUCAGCUUGUUGGUGGGGUAGUGGCUUACCAAGGCUUUGACGGGUAGCCGGCCUGAGAGGGUGACCGGCCACAUUGGGACUGAGAUACGGCCCAGACUCCUACGGGAGGCAGCAGUGGGGAACAUUGCACAAUGGGCGGAAGCCUGAUGCAGCAACGCCGCGUGCGGGAUGACGGCCUUCGGGUUGUAAACCGCUUUCGCCUGUGACGAAGCGUGAGUGACGGUAAUGGGUAAAGAAGCACCGGCUAACUACGUG